This is a long non-coding RNA of Megalobrama amblycephala (Wuchang bream), 217 nucleotides long. RefSeq lists it as uncharacterized. The record is from RefSeq and is a predicted model, not a curated record. The transcript has 3 exons. NCBI's taxonomy places the organism in Eukaryota, Metazoa, Chordata, Actinopteri, Cypriniformes, Xenocyprididae.
CCAGGAACCUUAAAGAGACUGCUCUCCUAAAACAGCAUCUGAAAGCUGUACUGAAAGAAGGAUCUGAUACUACUGAUGAUCCAGAAUGGGACAGUGACAUGGCUUCUCUAUUUGUCCUGCUUCAUCUUCUUACUCCACAACCAGCUGGAAGAAAGCGGCCCAAGAAGAUCAGUGUUGGAGAGGCAACAGAUCAUCUGGUCAAAUUUCAUAAGGUUUG